UGGGGAAUAUUGCACAAUGGGCGAAAGCCUGAUGCAGCAACGCCGCGUGAGCGAGGAAGGCCUUUGGGUCGUAAAGCUCUGUCGGGAAGGAAGAUAAUGACGGUACUUCCCGAGGAAGCCCCGGCUAACUACGUGCCAGCAGCCGCGGUAAUACGUAGGGGGCGAGCGUUAUCCGGAAUUAUUGGGCGUAAAGAGUGCGUAGGUGGUUGUUUAAGCGUGGGGUGAAAGGCAAUAGCUCAACUAUUGUAAGCCUCGCGAACUGGGCGACUUGAGUGCAGGUGAGGAAAGCGGAAUUCCUAGUGUAGCGGUGAAAUGCGUAGAUAUUAGGAGGAACACCAGUGGCGAAGGCGGCUUUCUGGACUGUAACUGACACUGAGGCACGAAAGCGUGGGGAGCAAACAGG
RNAcentral lists this ribosomal RNA (403 nucleotides) under uncultured bacterium. RNAcentral's name for it is "bacterial SSU rRNA". It matches the Rfam family "Bacterial small subunit ribosomal RNA", at positions 355 to 776 of the family's 1533-position model. The record is from RNAcentral.